GGUAUAUUUACUUUCUCAAUAUACUAUAUAUUCUCUAAAUAUCAAAAUAGUAGCUUUAUGCUGUUGGUGAUGGUGGUGGUGUUGUAACAAGAUUGUGAUUCAUUUCCUUAUCUUGAUGCUUUUUGAAAAUUGAUAAAUCCUGGUUUUUAAAAUAGCUAAAUGUUGUUUUUAACAUUAAGAAACUCCCAUCCAUGAGGUGGAGAGAGUGACAUGGAGAAAAUAUGAACUAAAGGUGAUGUUUUGUGUAUAUCUGAUGGACAAAUUCUCGUCCUCUUUCUUAAUUCAGGACUAUAAACAAUUUAGCCAAGUUUUGACAUAUUGAGACGUGGUUCAUUUUUGAAACAAGCUUCAAAAUGUUACAUAGAGAAGGAGAAAAUA
RNAcentral lists this unclassified non-coding RNA (378 nucleotides) under Hevea brasiliensis (rubber tree). The record is from RNAcentral. Lineage: Eukaryota; Viridiplantae; Streptophyta; Magnoliopsida; Malpighiales; Euphorbiaceae.